Molecule: ribosomal RNA, 87 nt
Filed under: Exophiala alcalophila
Lineage: Eukaryota; Fungi; Ascomycota; Eurotiomycetes; Chaetothyriales; Herpotrichiellaceae
Description: partial 18S ribosomal RNA
Source: RNAcentral
GGCGGGCCCGUUGUCUCACGACGACCGCCGGAGGACCGCUUAACGGCGUCCUCUGGUCCGCGCCCGCCGAUGGCCCCAAAAUCUCAA